GACGAGUACGGAACAACAUGAGGGAUCCAGGACAAGCCAAUGCAGAGAGGCAGAAGGUAGCACUAGAGCUACCAGACGCUGGAAAAGGUGUAUCUAAGUCAUACGUAGUGCAGGCACUUAUGGCGGCCAGAUGACGACAACGGAUGCCCUGGAGCUGGAGUUACAGGAGCUGUGCAAUGUGAGCAUGGUGUGGGUAAUGGGAACCAAACUUGGGUCCUCUGGAAGAACCGUACCCACUCUGCCACGGCAUCUCUCCCACCCCUCAGGAAAAUUCUUCUGGUAAAGCAAAUUGUCUUUUGCACUUGAAGAACCUACAAUGUUUUAGAACAUUUUACCUGAACAAAUUUAGUACCUAAUCUCCUCUGAUCCCUGAGGUUUUCUUUUCCUAACAAUCUAUUUAAAUACA
Molecule: long non-coding RNA, 406 nt
Organism: Mesocricetus auratus (golden hamster)
Lineage: Eukaryota; Metazoa; Chordata; Mammalia; Rodentia; Cricetidae
Exons: 2
Source: RefSeq, a predicted model, not a curated record